AUACAAUAUAAUGUCCCAGGAGCACAAAAUCAAUCCAACCAUCAAGAAUUCUGGUUGUGCAUCAAAUCCAGGGUAUUAUCAAAGAAUGGAAGCUGUUGAUUUAUAGUUAACUAAAGAGGUGCAAUUCCCCGAAGAGCUAUCAUUUCACUUUAAGGUGCUCCAAGAUUGGUAGUUGCUGAGACUAUUGUUACAUUCAACUUUCUCAUUCGAGCUGCAAAAGUCCCUGCUACCGCACUGAAAUCCAAUCCGAUUCUAAUCUCUCCAAACUUAAUGUUAAGCACUUCAGGUAUCAGAAUAUCUGCAGUAGGAUUCAUGUUGAGAUCAAGAUUUGUGUGUUUGAUCCAUCUGGCAUUUCAUGAGCUGUGAGAUUGAAGCAAUCCGCACACUUAAAGAACCCCUGGCGAAGUUUUUGCAUCUAUACUUGCACCAGCGGACAUUUCUAUUAUUAGGAAGCUUCCACAUGGAGUCAUUUUAUAGGGAAUGGCUUGCUGUAUAGUUGAGGGGCUCUUGAGAAGCACCUCCUCCUUGGCAAUGGAUCACAUCCAUGAACCAUCAGCCUCUGAGCCAGUUUCCAGUCAUCAUUGCGGAAUUCCCCAAUAUCGUAAUCCAUAUACUCUUCAAGCUCUUUCCUCAUGGCAAAACAAGCGUGGCCAGUGCUUGUGAACAUUCCGUUAGCUCCCAUGAAGUUUUGUUUCCCUAAUCUGUUGGGUUUGAUCCUUAAAUGCUUUCGAAUCUCUUCUAUCAGGAAGAAAUCAGCAGGCUCAUCUGAUCUUUGCUUUUGCCUUAGUAAAGGAUGGAGGGCUCCAAUUUCAGUGUUUUGCUAAGGGGCUCCUUCAUCUGAAGGCGAAGAUGCCUGUAACGACUAAAUGUGCCCCAAAAU
Molecule: unclassified non-coding RNA, 880 nt
Filed under: Hevea brasiliensis (rubber tree)
Lineage: Eukaryota; Viridiplantae; Streptophyta; Magnoliopsida; Malpighiales; Euphorbiaceae
Source: RNAcentral